Molecule: ribosomal RNA, 253 nt
Filed under: uncultured bacterium
Lineage: Bacteria
Description: partial 16S ribosomal RNA
Rfam family: Bacterial small subunit ribosomal RNA
Source: RNAcentral
UACGAAGGGGGCUAGCGUUGUUCGGAAUUACUGGGCGUAAAGCGCGCGCAGGCGGUUUCUCAAGUCAGUGGUGAAAGCCCGGAGCUCAACUCCGGAACUGCCAUUGAAACUGUGAAACUUGAGGACGAGAGAGGUGAGUGGAAUUCCCAGUGUAGAGGUGAAAUUCGUAGAUAUUCGCAAGAACACCAGUGGCGAAGGCGGCUCACUGGCCCGGUACUGACGCUGAGGCACGAAAGCGUGGGGAGCAAACAGG